RNAcentral lists this ribosomal RNA (498 nucleotides) under uncultured bacterium. RNAcentral describes it as "partial 16S ribosomal RNA". It matches the Rfam family "Bacterial small subunit ribosomal RNA", at positions 27 to 507 of the family's 1533-position model. The record is from RNAcentral.
GGACGAACGCUGGCGGCGUGCCUAAUGCAUGCAAGUUGAGCGCUGAAGGUUGGUACUUGUACCGACUGGAUGAGCAGCGAACGGGUGAGUAACGCGUGGGGAAUCUGCCUUUGAGCGGGGGACAACAUUUGGAAACGAAUGCUAAUACCGCAUAAAAACUUUAAACACAAGUUUUAAGUUUGAAAGAUGCAAUUGCAUCACUCAAAGAUGAUCCCGCGUUGUAUUAGCUAGUUGGUGAGGUAAAGGCUCACCAAGGCGAUGAUACAUAGCCGACCUGAGAGGGUGAUCGGCCACAUUGGGACUGAGACACGGCCCAAACUCCUACGGGAGGCAGCAGUAGGGAAUCUUCGGCAAUGGACGAAAGUCUGACCGAGCAACGCCGCGUGAGUGAAGAAGGUUUUCGGAUCGUAAAACUCUGUUGGUAGAGAAGAACGUUGGUGAGAGUGGAAAGCUCAUCAAGUGACGGUAACUACCCAGAAAGGGACGGCUAACUACGUG